GGACGGGUGAGUAACACGUGGAUAACCUACCUAUAAGACUGGGAUAACUUCGGGAAACCGGAGCUAAUACCUGAUAAUAUAUUGAACCGCAUUGUUCAAUAGUGAAAGACGGUUUUGCUGUCACUUAUAGAUGGAUCCGCGCCGCAUUAGCUAGUUGGUAAGGUAGCGGCUUACCAAGGCGACGAUUCGUAGCCGACCUGAGAGGGUGAUCGGCCACACUGGAACUGAGACAUGGUCCAG
Molecule: ribosomal RNA, 240 nt
Filed under: uncultured Staphylococcus sp.
Lineage: Bacteria; Bacillati; Bacillota; Bacilli; Caryophanales; Staphylococcaceae
Description: partial 16S ribosomal RNA
Rfam family: Bacterial small subunit ribosomal RNA
Source: RNAcentral